UGGCGGUUCGAUCCCGUCAGCGCCCACCAUAAUUUGUGACCAUACUUUAUUUUUAAAGUAUUGCAAGUGCAGCGGUAGUUCAGUUGGUUAGAAUACCGGCCUGUCACGCCGGGGGUCGCGGGUUCGAGCCCCGUCCGCUGCGCCACUUUUAUAAAACGCUUUUGCAGGGCGCUUAGCUCAGUUGGUAGAGCGUCUGCCUUACAAGCAGAAUGUCGGCGGUUCGAUCCCGUCAGCGCCCACCAUAAUUUUUUCAAAUUUAAAAAAUUAAACACGCUAAUUUAUUUAGUGUUUUUUGCGUUUCUGCUCUUCCUAUUUUUUAUCUAUCUAUUUUAUCUUUUUUGGUUAACUCUCUCUUUUCCAUACUUAAUUUUUGAGUUCGAAUUAUUAUUACUAUCGAGUUUAACUAAAGCUGCCAUGCUGUAACGCAAUAGCAGCUUUGUAAACUAAGAUUAAUACUCA
This 459-nucleotide transfer RNA is filed under the name Acinetobacter baumannii 1406750. RNAcentral's name for it is "partial 16S ribosomal RNA". The stretch from base 167 to 239 matches the Rfam family "tRNA". Lineage: Bacteria; Pseudomonadati; Pseudomonadota; Gammaproteobacteria; Moraxellales; Moraxellaceae. The record is from RNAcentral.